This 75-nucleotide transfer RNA is filed under the name Haemophilus influenzae. RNAcentral describes it as "tRNA-Gly(gcc)". It matches the Rfam family "tRNA". Rfam says of the family: Transfer RNA (tRNA) molecules are approximately 80 nucleotides in length. Lineage: Bacteria; Pseudomonadati; Pseudomonadota; Gammaproteobacteria; Pasteurellales; Pasteurellaceae. The record is from RNAcentral.
UGCGGGAAUAGCUCAGUUGGUAGAGCACGACCUUGCCAAGGUCGGGGUCGCGAGUUCGAGCCUCGUUUCCCGNNN